UACGUAGGUGGCGAGCGUUGUCCGGAUUUACUGGGCGUAAAGAGCGCGCAGGCGGCUGGUCAAGUCCGAUGUGAAAGCUCCCGGCUUAACUGGGAAUUGCAUCGGAAACUGAUCGGCUGGAAGGUGGGAGAGGGUAGCGGAAUUCCCGGUGUAGUGGUGAAAUGCGUAGAUAUCGGGAGGAACACCAGUGGCGAAAGCGGCUACCUGGCCCAUUACUGACGCUGAGGCACGAAAGCUAGGGGAGCAAACAGG
Molecule: ribosomal RNA, 252 nt
Filed under: uncultured bacterium
Lineage: Bacteria
Description: partial 16S ribosomal RNA
Rfam family: Bacterial small subunit ribosomal RNA
Source: RNAcentral